AUACGGAGGAUGCAAGCGUUAUCCGGAUUUAUUGGGUUUAAAGGGUGCGUAGGCGGUUUGCUAAGCGGGAGGUGAAAUGCCGGCGCUCAACGUCGGAAGUGCCACCCGAACUGGUGGACUUGAAUGACUCUGCCGUGGGAGGAAUGGGUAGUGUAGCGGUGAAAUGCUUAGAGAUUACACAGAACACCGAUUGCGAAGGCAUCUCACGAAGGGUUGAUUGACGCUGAGGCACGAAAGCGUGGGGAUCAAACAGGAUUAGAUACCCUGGUAGUCCACGCAGUAAACGAUGAUGGCUAACCGCUGGGCUUAUCAGUUCAGUGGCCAAGCGAAAGCGAUAAGCCAUCCACCUGGGGAGUACGACCGCAAGGUUGAAACUCAAAUGAAUUGACGGGG
Molecule: ribosomal RNA, 393 nt
Filed under: uncultured bacterium
Lineage: Bacteria
Description: partial 16S ribosomal RNA
Rfam family: Bacterial small subunit ribosomal RNA
Source: RNAcentral